CGGCUUUGUGGAACGAUCUCAGGUCGCUUAAACCCAUGCCUAAAAUCGCUUGGAUUCUGAUUGGUGACUUUAACAAUUUUUGCUCUUUAGAUGAAAAGAUGGGUGGAUCUCAUGUGAUUACCCAGGCUGUUGAUGCUCAAAAUGGCUCGGCCAAUAUUGAGUCCAACUUAGUGAUUAGAUGUGCUGGGUCUUCAGUAGGGAAGAGGGCUGAGGCCCUUGGCGAAAUAUAGGUUGAUGGGAAACCUGCAGAAGACAAAGUGGGAGAAGCAAUCGUUAAGCUUCGGACACCGGUGUGGUGCCGGCCGAAGGCUCUCCGAUGCCUAAGUCAGUUACAAGUAGUAAUUCUGGCAGAGUAACAGUAAAAGUGGGAGAAUAGUUCUUGCUUUUACCUGGGUACUGUUCCCUAUUUAUAGGGAGGUGAAAGUAGGAGGUUUGCACAAAGUUCCGAUGUGGGACUUUGUGCAAGUCGUCGUGGUGGCGACACGUGUCCUGGAGAUUAGGUUUGGCAGCUGGGGGCUUCGGUAGGUGUCUGGCACCUCGGAAGUGUGUCUUCCUUCGGCACAGGAGAAGGCGUGGCUGCCUUGGUGCUAGUCACUUUGGUGCUGGGUAUGCUCGGUUCAUUAUGGUGUAAACAGUAGUCCCCCAAGUUCGCGGUCGAGAAGUAACUUCUAGGUUGGGAACUUGUGAGUUUUUGUAAUUGUAACCGAGCAUUCCAGCUUCGUUGGGAGUCGUAGGGCACUCCCUAGUCCCCCAAGUUGGCAAGCUAGGAGUUGCGUGAACAUAUGGUAGCUGGGUACCUGGGUACUUGGGCAUGUUGCAGAUAAGAUGUGAGCUGGGUCCGUAGGGGAGCCAGGCCUUCAAAGGAGCCGGGUUGAGUGAAAUUUUUGGACUCCCCACAAUUUGUCCAUGGCCCUUGCCGUUCGGCAAGGGUCUAGCCAAAUAUUUCCCUCAUUUUUUUUUUGGUGUGCUCGGGAGCUAGGCCAUCGAGGGAGCCGGGCCAUUUGAAAAUUUUCGACUCUCCAAAAUGUCUCCAUGGCCCUUGCCGUUCGGCAAGGGUCUAGCUUUUUUUUUUUUUUUUUUUUUGAAUGGCCGGGAGCUAGGCCUUUUUGGGAGCCGGGUCGUUUUUGAAAAUUUUGCUCUCCAAAAUUUCGACAUGGCCCUUGCCGUUCGGCAAGGGUCUAGCUAUUUUUUGGUUGCUCGGGAGCUAGGCCUUUUUGGAUUGGGUCUUCGGCAAGGGGCUGGGGUUGGGUUCAAAGUGGGCUUCGGCAUGUGAGAAAGGCUAGGGUUUUGAGAAGGUUGGACCCGAGAUGGGCCUUGGCCAAAAGAUAAAAGGAUAGGAGCUAGGGUUUAGUAUUGGGAGAAGGGUCUCUAGAGACCUUGAUAUAGCCUGCCGUUCGGCAGGGUGGAUAGAGAUUUUUUUUUUGUUUUUUGGGGCUGUUCACAUAAAUUCGGUAGGCAAGGAGAUUGUGACCGGAGAAGAGAGCCUGCGCCGUCGUCCGUAGCCGAGCAUAUUGCGGGCCAUUCGGGAAGCAAAUUUGUGGACUCAGGUCUGCACUGGCCUCGGCCAAGUCUGGUUCCGGAGGAGAUCGAGGGUAAGAGAAGAUCGAAGUGUGGGCUGGUCCUUCGGCAGGGCGGCGCAGCAACUGGUUCGGUGAGCCUUCGGUGUAGCAGUUGCUGUCGGAGUGGUGCUUCGGCAAGGCGACACAGCUGGAGUAGCUUGGUUGUGCUUGCCGAUCGGCAGGUCUUGGCCACGGCUGGCCUUGUUGUUGAUCGAAGCUUCGUCAAAGCAUCGGGGUUGUCCUUCGGCAGGUUCUGUCCGAGGAGGUGCUGGCUGCGCGGCAGCUGGGUUGUCGUGGUGUCUAGCAGAGGGAGAGCUGCCCAACGUUCUUGCCGUUCGGCAAGAGACGUGGCGACGGCUGGGGUGUCCUGCGGCAGGCGGUGUUGCUGGGCAGAUUCUGCAGGCCGUGGCUGGGGUUGUUUCGGCAGGCGCCGUAGCUGGAGCACGGGGCUAGGGCCUUCGGCAGGUGCUGCGCAGGGUCGUUGAGGUAUUUGUUGAAUCCUUCCGAUCGGCAAGGGUGGUGUGGAGAGUAUUUUGACCGAAAAGGUGAGUCCCCCAUUUGUUGUUUCCCGGGCCUUGCCGUUCGGCAAGCCCAUUUAUAUUAUGUGGUGGAAUUGGCUUGGGUGUCUUGAUCAAAUUUGGGCCGAGCCUUGUAGUAGGUUUGGGCUUAUGGAGUAGGCUAGCAAACUUGAAAUUUUGGGACUCCAUUUUGUGUUUGCACGGGCCUUGCCGUUCGGCAAGGCCCCUAUGUUUCCCUCAAUUUUUUUGUUUUUGGUUGUUUGUGUAUUUUGGAAAUUGAAUUUCAAAUUGUGUGUAGGUACAAGGGAUUUAGGAGGGAAUAUGAAAGGAUGCUAGGGUUUGCUCGUGAAUCGAGGCGUGGUACCCUUAGUUGGCUAUAAAAAGGAACUUGGGGUGGGGAAGGCACCACACUUGAGUUGAGUUGAGAAAAUUUGUGAGAAAUUGAAGAAGAGGAGAGGCGAUUUCCGGCGAUUAGUUUGUGGUGGUGCUUGUGGCUGAGGUGAUUUUCGGUGAACCAUUCGUGGUGCUACGAACAAGGUUAGACCUUAUUUCGCUAGAACCUUUGAAUUGAAAUGUCUUGUUUUGCAUGAACAUGUUGAAGGUUAGGAAGAACACAUUGAACAUGAGCAUGAAUAUGAUGAACAUGUUGAACAUAUGUAUGAACAUGUAGAAUUCUUGCCUGGCAUGAAGAUUUGGCAAAUUUUUGUUGUUGUGGUUCGAUCCUCUCUGCAUGUGCAUUUAGUUCCUUUUUCUUGUUUUUCCAUAUUUGUAGAUGUCUGAAAGUUCUGAUAGGGAAGUUUGCACAAAGUUCCGAUGUGGGACUUUGUGCAAGUCGUCGUGGUGGCGACACGUGUCCUGGAGAUUAGGUUUGGCAGCUGGGGGAUUCGGUAGGUGUCUGGCACCUCGGAAGUGUGUCUUCCUUCGGCACAGGAGAAGGCGUGGCUGCCUUGGUGCUAGUCACUUUGGUGCUGGGUAUGCUCGGUUCAUUAUGGUGUAAACACAGGCCAUGAUGAACUUUAAUAAACUUCUAAGUGACUGUGAAGUUGUUUCUACGAAUGCUUCUAGGGCUCCUAUGAUAACUCUGUUAUCUUUGAAAGACUUGACCGGGCUGUUGCAAACCCGGAUUGGUUGAGACUUUUUCCCAACUGUGAGUUCCAAAAUCUGCCUAUCUUAAGAUCAGACCAUGGUCCCAUUCUCCUCAAUUGUAACGAUACCCCUAGAAGAGUCCCCAAAGCCUUCAGGUUUGAGGCCAUGUGGUUAGCCCAUAGAGAUUUUGACAAAGUGGUUAACCAAAUUUGGAAUGCUUCCUAUAGUGGGAAUGCUGCCCAGAAAAUUCAAUCAUGUUGGAAGUUUGAAAGCAAAUGUCCCACAUUGGAGAAAACAAAAGGUUCCAUAUGCUUUAUAAGCAUGAAACCUUAAUAUUAAUUAAAUAAAGAUUGGUGGGCUGAUGGGCUUGGUAGUGAAGACUAUCAUGGUUGGCUUGCUUGAUUAAUAUUAAUAUUUAAAUAAUCAAGACUUGGGCCUUGGGCCUUGGGGGUCUCUGGAAAAUAAAAGAAAUAUACCUAGCCCGAAAAUAAAAUAAUUAUUUUUUAUUUUCGGAUUUCUUUGGCAGAAGUUAAAUUCAAACCAAAAAGACUUAUCUUUUUGUUUGAAUUUGAACAGGUAUAACUGAUACUAACUGCUAUUUUGAAGGGGUGUAAUUCUAUUAUAAAACCACAAGUCCUAGGCCAUAAGACAAAUCUCUUUUCCUUAAAACUAUCUCAUAUUAUUUUAAAGUUACCAACUGUAUUGGAGAGAAGCACACCAACGUUCGCCAGAAUUCAAGGAUCCGGUACUGGACCCUUGAAUUAUAGAUAGUUGAAUCCUGGGAGAUAGACGCCUGUUGAACUUCAAGCACUGAGAAGAGGCGAAAUUCGGUCUUUAGGACAUUGCAAAUACGCAAGCCUCUAUCUUCAAUAAAAGUCAGUAUUCUGUACUUAAUUUAAAUAUUUGCACAUUUAUACAGAUUUCGUAAUUUUGCUACUGUUUAUAUUUUCAAAAUUGUGCACUAAUAUAGUGAUCCUAUAGUUUAAAACAUUUACUGAUUAUCUUCGUAACAAAUCCUGCUGUAACACUUUUAAGCACAAACUAAAAUCCUGAAACAGAAAUGUCUUUGGGGACUUGUUCCAAAAGAUUAGAUUCAUCCAAGAGGAUUUACUUUUAACCCAGAAACAAUUAGCCCAAAACCCCUACAAUUCUUAUCUAUUUGAUAAAGAACUCAAGUUAAACACUGAUCUAAGGACUAUGCUUGAUCAAGAAGAAGUUUUUUAUGCCCAAAAAGCAAGAGCUAACUGGCUUCAACUUGGGGAUAAGAACACUAAAUACUUUCACACUCAAGCUUUAAUUAGAAGGAAACGUAAUCAGAUCACUAGAAUUAGGGAUCCUAAUGGGUUGUGGGUUGAGGGUGAUGUUCUCCAUCAUACCUUUAUUCAAGCUUUCAAGCUUAUAUUCACUGCUGAUCAGACUCCAAAUCCUCUUCUAAUGAGUAAUUUUCUUCAACUUGUUGAGCCUUGCAUCACUAGCCAAGAUAAUGUAAAUCUGUUGGCUCCUGUUUCAUAUUUUGAGCUAGAGUAUGUUGUGUGGAGUAUAGGGCCUCUUAAAGCCCCUGGCCCUGACGGCUUGCAAGCAGUGUCCUACCAAAAAUGUUGGAAGAAUACUAAGAAUAAGAUUAAGGACCUAGUUAAUGAUUUCCUUAUCAAUAAUGUUCCUCUACAGGAUGUCAAUCAUACCAAUAUCGCCCUUAUUCCUAAAGUUAAUUCCCCGAAGACUGUUAACCAGUAUAGGCCCAUUAGUUUAUGCAAUGUCUCGUACAAAAUUUUGAUAAAUCGUCUUAGACCUCUGCUUUCAAAAUGCAUAUCCAGAAACCAAGGAGCUUUUGCUCCAGGUAGAUCUAUUUUUGAUAAUAUUCUUGUUGCUCAUGAAUUAUUCCAUGACUUUAAAAGAAAGAAAGUUAACAGAGGAGCUAUGGCCAUUUAAGCUUGACCUUGAAAAAGCCUAUGACCUCCUUGACUGGAGUUUCAUUAGAGGCUGCUUGGCUCAAUUUGGUUUUAGUAAUGACUGGUGUGAUCGAAUCAUGAACUGUGUUUCUAGCACUUCCUUUUCCCUUCUUAUUAAUGGUUCUCCCUAUUGUCACUUUAGGGCUUCCAGGGGAAUUAGGCAGGGAGAUUCUUUGUCGCCUUAUAUUUUUAUCCUUUGCAUGGAGCCUUUUAUUAGGCAUUUAAAUUGUAUUGCAAGGAAUCCUAAAUCUAAUAUGGGUUUGCUCUCUUCCCCAGGAGGUGAUCGUAUCUCUAACAUGGUCUUUGCUGACGAUUGCCUUAUUUUUGCUAGGGCAACUACCAUGGCUGCCAAAAAUAUCAAUACAGUGUUAGGUAAUUUCUCUAAAGUUUCUGGUCAGAAAAUUAACUUGCAUAAGUCCACCAUUUAUUUUUCUGGAAAUGUUCAUUCAAAAGUCAGAGCCGUGCUAAGUAAUCUUUUGCAGAUUCAACAUAAGACCACCUUAGGUCGUUACCUUGGCAUCAACAACAUUAUCUUUUGGAAAGAUCCUGCUAAUGCCAAUCUUUUGAUCGAAAGAAUUUGGUCUAAGUUUGUCGGUUGGAAGGCCAACACUUUAUCUAAAGCUAGCCAUCUCACUCUAAUUAAGGCUAGUGUCUCUGGAAUUCCUAACCAUACUCUUUCCUGUUUUAAAUGUCCCAAAGAAGUUUGUAAGGAAAUGAAUGCUUGUUGUAGACCUUUUUUCUGGGCCAGUGACAAGAAGGUCCCCCCAAUUUCUUGGAAAGAUAUUUGUUUGCCAAAAUAUCUAGGAGGUCUAGGGGUUAGAUCUGCUACUCUUUUUAAUAAGGCGGGUUUAGCCAAAUUAGGUUGGAUCUGCUUGACUGAUACUACCAAUUGGUGGGCUCAAAUCGUGACGAAAAAAUUACUUAAAAAGAGAUUGCUUUCUUUUUGUCAGAAAAAGGACUUCUCAGUCGCUUUCCUGGAAGGCUAUCCUUGAUGUUCGGUCAGUUUUGCUUAAAGGUUGUAGAUGGAUUGUUGGUAAUGGUCAAUCCAUUCCCUUCUGGACUGCUAAUUGGGUAUUCCCUUUCCCUUUGCUUGAUUUAAUUCCUGAGUUUUUGAGAAAUAACUUGAAUUUGAAUCCUUCAAGUAAUUGAUGAAGAUGUUAUGGAUCAAAUCCUUUCUAUCCCUCUCCCUUUGUCUCCUCUGCAUGAUAAAUUAGUCUGGGGGUCUGACCCCAAUGGGAAGUUUUCUAUUAAAUCUGCUUAUAAUUUACAAUUGUAGGAUAAGCCCUCACACCCGAGAACUCCUUUGCUGAAGAAAAUGUGGAGCUUGACUUUGCCCCCUAAAGUCAAGCUACGCUUGGUUACUCAUACGAAAAAGACUGCAAGUUCGAAGUCAUUUACAAAUACAUACCUAAUAUUAAUCCUGAAUGCCCCUGUUGUAAGAAUCACUUGGAGACUAUUAACCAUUUAUUUUUUGAAUGUCAAUUUGCAGUUAAUAUUUGGAGGUGUACCUCUAUCAAUCCUACAACCUCAAAUCAGAAUUUUGAUGGUAUCAAGUGGCUAGAUUUGCUCCCUUACAUGAAGGAUAAAAAUGGCCUGAAUAUCCUCUCAAAAGCUCUCCUCCUCUGCUGGCAAAUUUGGGAGGCUCGGAACAACUGUGUCUUUAAGAACAUGGCCCCCCAUCUGGCUAGUGCUCUUACUGUUGCUGGUCAAGUUGGUCUAGACUUUUUUAAAAACAACUCCACUCCUCCCCUGAGGCCUAAAGGUGAUCUGUCUAUCAAGUGGAAGCCGCCUCCCCCCGAUUGGAUGAAAUUAAAUUUUGAUGGUUCGGUGCGUGAACAUAUGGCUGCCAGUGGUUUUGUUAUCCGAGAUUGGAAUGGCAAUGUUAGACUUGCGGGAGCUAAGAAGUUAGGACAGGUUUUGAUCAAUGUGGCGGAAUGUUUAGCCCUUCGUGAUGGCCUAGCCCAUGCUAUCAAUAAUGGUUGGAGUAAAAUUGUAACGACCCGGUCCUAAACUAAUAAUUAAAUAUGAAAUUAUUAAAGAAAAAGACAAUAUUACCCCAGAAUAUUUUAAUAGGUUUACAUGUUGACUUGUUGACCGGGGAGACUUUGGUGAAAUUGUUACAUCCUGGUCCGAAAAAGUGUUAAAACAAUUAAAAAGAGAAUAAAUUUAAAUGUGGAAAUAAAUUGAAGUAAACAUUAAAAUAAAAUGAUUUGAAUUAAUUAAGGUUUUUGAGAAAUUAAAACAUUAUUUAAUAUUAAAAGGGGCACAAAGGUCAUUUUAAGUUUGGGAAAGAAUUUAGAAAUUCUGAUUAUAUCAUUUUGUAGAGCACGUCGAAACGAGUCCGUAAACACGUAGUGGUCUCAAAUCGGAGUUGUAACGAAGAAAUGGCGAUCCAAAGAAGUUCAGUGGCAUAAUCGUAAAUAGUUCGAAGUUCAGUUUUUUUAAAAACCCAGAUUUCUUCUCUCUGGGCAGUUCGACCAGCUGACUUCCAAAGGUGAUAUCUCUCAACUCCGACCACCAAUUGAAGCAAGACCAGUCCCAUUAGAACCAUCACACUUACCUCUUCCAGACCCAACCUCUCGCUACCCCGAUCCGCCGCUGUAUUCGCCGGAAACAGCCAAUAAAAGGGCGGUGUUGAACAGUUUUUUGGUAAACUUUCACCGGCUCGUUCUCCCUCCUCCGGCCACCGUUUCAUGCGAGUGAGGUAUGCUUUCUCACCUAUUUUUCAUGAUCUAGCUGAUGGUUGAGUAGGAAUUUAUCAACUUUGAGCCUAGUUAGUUCGAUUUUCGAACCUCGAUUCCGGCCACUUCGGGUCACUUUUUGGGGUAGAUUUAAGAACUAAAGUGGUUCCAAAUAGGGUGUUUUACCUAGGAUAGGAAGCUGGGUUUCCAGCUUUGAAGAUUUCCGGUUGCCGGAAUUUGAUCAAGCUACCCACUAGCUGCCAGCGCUUGUGGCGGCGCGUGGGCAGCAUAGUGAAGUCAUUUUCAGAACCUAAAAUGAUUCUUGGUCCUCAUGAGCGCGUAGAAAUUCGCGGAUAUUAAUUUGGACAACGUUUGAAUCCCGAACGGAUCUCUCAUAUUGUGCGAUUUCCGGGUUCAAUGCAUUUGAACCGUUGGAUUGUAGUCAAUUUUAUAUAUGUUGAUCUAGACAAUCCCAGGAUUGGGUAGGAUUUGACUGAUCAUAAAUCGGAGCCCCGGAUACUCCGAAAAUGCCAAACCUAGGGCUAGGUUUAUAGUAACCAUACGAUUGUGCAAUUGUGAGUAAUCCGACCGUCCGAUCGAGGUCAAACUCUCCGGACAUAUGUCCUAGGCAGGUUAGAACCUCUAGGAACUCUCAAAUUGGAAUUUUGAGGUCGUGGACCCCACAAGGUCCCAGGUUGACUUUUUGGGACUUUAUCGCUUUUAAAUGCCGAGAUACUUUUAGACCGCUCUAAACCCUGGGAAGAGCUACUUUGAGGAUAGAAAUGACUUUAAAGUUGGUGCAUGUACUUCUAGAAACCCAGGGCUAGGGUUUCGGAUAAAAUAACGUGGAUGAGCUUUAUUGUUUGUGUGUUUUAGGAAGUUCAUGUACGUACGAGUGUUCAUUGGUUUAAUUAUGACAAUAAUUUCAUGGAUUAGAUUACCAUAUCACUUAUUAUGAAAUUAUAUGACUAUGGAAUAAGUAGAUAUGAUUGUAUACAUGUGGAUUACUAAAUUAUAUAAAAGUAUUUGAAGAUGUGAUAUAGUAUGUGAUGGUAAACCUAAAGGGUAUUUACGAUAAUUGGAGAUUAUGUAAUUUUGAGAAUUGAUUUCUGGAAAAUUGAGAAGAGAAUAUAAGCAGGGUUUGUGAAACAAGAGGACCUUUGAGAUAAGUUUCAGAAUAUGUUUUUUAAACCCACCUCAGGAGUACCCCCAGUUGCCUUGAGACAGUUUGUUAUUUAUGAUAAUGCCCCAUGAGUUUCGGGGACGCCUGAAUCAUGUGGUGCGAGGAUUGCCGCUCAGAUUGAAGUAUUAUCUCUGAGACCUGCGAGGAAUGCGGCUCGAAUGGACUUGGUGUCUCCGGGACUUGCGAGGAUUGCGGCUCAGAUUGAAGUGUUAUCUUUGAGACCUUCGAGGAAUGCGGCUCGGUUAACUUUAUGGUUCCGAGACCUGCGAGGAUGGAAUUGACUGACUAACAUUGGAAUUGACGGAUUAUUAAAGGAAUUGACGGAUCGGAAAUGGGGGUACUCCUAGGUAGAGAGAAUUGAAGUCCUGAGAUGUUUUUAAACUAAAUUGAGGAUUUUAUAUAGUUACCAUUAUUUUCUUAAGCGUCACAUUUGUUUUACAAGCGAUAGAUGGAAAUAUAUAUAUAUAUAGAUUCUAAGCAAGUUAUUGAUGUAUAAAAAUAUAUUUAUUUAUUUAUGAACGUGAGUUUGAUACAAGGGUGUUCGGAGCUUAUAAAUCUUUAACUUAUUUAAUUUUAUUUAAUUUUAUUAAGUUUAUUUAUCUUUAUCUUGCAUUAUUUUAUAUAGUAUUAAAUAGCUUAAGUUUUUCUAGCAUAUUUUACCCUACGAGUCCUAGAUAUAUUCGGACCGUGGGAGUGAGGAUUGCGAACUAGGUUGACCAGAUGUCUCCUAAGUUCAGCGAGAAUUACAGGUCGGGACGUGUCACCAAUGGUGUCAUGAGGAAUUGAUGGUUAUGGCUUUCCAAGCAUGGUUACUUGAUAUAAAUGCUUUUAUUUCUUCGUUUGAUUGUAUAUUGCCAUGUGAGAAAUGCCAGAAAGCUUGAAACAGAAAGCUGAGAUGAAAUUUGAGAACUAGAGUGGUUUUGCAAUGAAAGAACUACGUGUGGCUUGAUCCCUCAGUAAGGGUACAUAGGCAGCCUAUAGGUACAAGGUGCAGCGACGAGUUAGAAUGUUUGAAAUUACCAAUGCAUUAUUGUUGUUCUGAAAGUUGAGAUAAAUUUUAUUAGCAGAUUGAUUUAUUUGAUUUAUUGCAACCUCAUACUAGAAUAUUAUGAUGCUUAAUUUGUUUGGAUAUAAUUGAAUGCAUGCUGAACGAUUGAGUUAUAUAAAUGUUUGAUGAUAGGUGAAAAUUUUGGGGAAUGAGUAAAUUGCCGGGGAAACUUUGUCGAAUUUUUAGCAGAAGAUAAUCUUAUUUUUUUAAAAUGGAUUUUUAGUUAGAAGGGCAUUUUGGUCUUUGUGCCUGGCAUUAGCCAAGUGUUGGACACUCACAGGGUUCUGCUCAGAUUCCAAAGUGGAAUUUGGGUCGGGUCCUGUCAAAAAUUCUAAUUGAAGGUGACUCCAAGCUUAUCAUCGACUGCAUAAACGAAAAAACUUUGGUUCCAUGGAGUAUCCAUCUCUUGGUGCAAGAUAUCAGACUGCUUAGUUCCUUUUGUUAUGAGUUUUCCUUCCAGCACGUCUUUUGCGGAGCAAACUUCACUGAUGAUGCUUUAGCUAGUUUAGGCCAUAGCUUGAGCCCCUCCCACCUCUAGGAUCGGGGGCUCCCUUUAAGUUGCUCUAUUCCUUUUUAUUUUGAUUUAUUGGGGCAUGCGUGCCCUAGUGGGUUCCGGUUGUAAGGUUCCUUAUUUUCCUAUAAAAUUUAAAAAAUAAAAUAAUAAAUAAAAAAAAGAGAAGACCAAAGUUAUCUUUUUUCCCCCCAGAAUAUAUAUGGCCUUGUGGCCCUAGUUCUAAGUUUUAAAAUACAAAUGGCUUCAAUAUGCUUAUCAGUUACUGUUAUAGUUGAACAUGAAAACUCCAUUUGCCAAUAUAGGAUUCAAGAGAGAGACAAUUAUGGAUAAAUAAUACUCAUUCAUAUAUUGGUCGAAAAAUUAUAGAUUUCUUUCAAUCUCGGUCAUUGGUUGCAUUCUCUGUUAUGUCAAAGAUCUUAUAUUAUAUAUAAAAAAGGAUUUUGCAACUAUGACGUAUAAGAUUUUGCAUUCUCUGUCAUGUCAAAUUUGAUUUAUAUUGGGUUCUAUUUCUAUAGUUUUUAGUAUGAUUCUUAUUAUUUUUUCUUUAUCGGUUUUGUAUUUUUCUCAGGCCUUUCACUUGUGAAGUAUGGGGAAGAAGCCCUCGAUCAAAAAGUCAACUUUCCAGAAACGCUGGGAAGGCAAAGUUGUAACUACUUAGGUAAUGCCAAACAAGAUGGCAAAGGGAGAAGAACAACCGAUCUAUUGUAACCACUGAGCGGGAAGAAAGUUCUGCACCAUACCACAAAACCCUUGCAGAUCACCCUUUGUUUGGCGUGAAGCGAUAUAUACACAAGAACCACAACUCAUAUGAUCCCGUGCUACAUGUUAAUGUCGCUGGCCAUUUAUCUCACAAGGUACAUAUCCAAUUGCAUUUCAAAUUUGCACAAUUGCAUUUCACAUAUGCAAUUACCUGUAUAUUGUCUGGAAAUUGUUAAUUCAAUUGCAUUUAAAAUUUGCGCAAUUGGAUUUCAUAUAUGCAAUUACCUGGCUGUUGUAUGGCAAUUGGAUGAAAUAAAAAAUAUGCAACUUGCCACAAAGUUUGCCCUGCUCUAGAUAGAUGUAGUCUUAUGCUAUAUUAAUUUUUUCGAUGGCAAUGCAAUGUUCACCGUAGAAUUUUGUGUAUGCUGCUUUUCGAUAAAGAAUAUCAGAUCUGGAAGUAGUAUAACACUCGCCUUUUCUUUUCUUUUCUUUUUUAUUUAUUUAGUUUUUUUCUUUUAGGCUACUUGCUUAAGCAAACUCUGUGUAAAUUGUGUGUCUGAAAAUCGGAUACAACAUUGCUUCAAAAAAAUCUGAUAGAGCAGUACUUCAAGACACUUAUUUUAUGUCUUUACUAUCUUCUCAGCUCUUCUUCUUUUAAAUAAAUAUUUUAAAAAACAAAAUCUCAGCCCUUCUUCAUUACUCCUCUAGUUAGUUACUAACAUCCUCUCUUAGAUCAUAUGGCUGGUCACAUCCUUUCCUAAAACAAAUAGAAGCUGCUAAACAGUUUUUUAAUUUAGUGUCAGUUUUAAUCUUAUAUGCAUAUGUUACUUAAGUAUUUCUUACUUUCUUUUGGUUGGAAAUAUGUAGGAGACUUAAAAUCUUCUCAAAGUUUGCAAUUCAUUGAUCAAUGUACCAAAAGAUAGUGAUGGAUAUUUGACAAAUAUGAGAUGCAAGUCAAUUGAGCACAUUAAGGGAUGCAGCGGAAACUACAAACAUGUUCUUCUUUGUGUCGGUUGUGACACUUGGAGUACUAGUAUACUCCCAUUUUUAUUGUUAACAAAAAAAUAUAAUAUAAUAUAAAUCGAGAUAAGCACGUAAAUUGCAUUUACAGUUUGCAAUUGUACUAUAGAGUUGUAUUUUGAGAUUAGUGUAUACUUAUUGUCAUGUUACUGACACCCUUUUCAAUUUUGAGAAUGUAAAUAAAAUAUGUGAUUUGUCAAUGCAAUUGACAAACAGGUAGUAUCGUUUGCAUUCUAGUCGUACAAUUGACAAACAAAGCUGUUCCAUUUACAUUCCAGUUGCGCAAUUGCCAUUAUUUAUGUACCCACUAAAUUAAUGCUCCAACUAUUUAUAUAAAUUUUGUUAUGUACUCAUGAUUAAACAUGGAUGCAAUUAUAUUUUCCUCGCUUUUUUGGUUGAAAUUAUAUUUUCCUUGUGAAUGUUGUCAUAUCAUACUACUUUUUUGAACAGCGAGGCAACGUUUGGAAUCCCAAUAUGCAAUUGCCAAUUUGCGGAACAACUUUUGCACUUUUGCAUUGUUAGUAUACGAAUACCAAAAUUCAUAAUCAAUAAAUAAUAUCAAAUCAUUCAAACUUAAUUGUAUUUUAGACAUGUUGUGCAAUUAAUGUGUUAAUCAAUAACAUACACACAUUGACAUAAAUAAAGUUACGAAGCAUUAUAUUUUCACAUUUUAAGUAUUAUGCCACUGUGAAUUCAUAAGUAUGCCAUUGUGAGUCACAUCAAAUUACAUAUUUUGCUUUCACUUAGCCACAUCAAGUUUGUAAUCGACGAACACGAACAGGCACCACAUAAUUGUCAUUCCAACUUGUGAAAACUGACUACUUGAUUAGAAAUUGCCAAAUGACCUAUGUCAAAGGUAAAUUAGGCUAUUGAAACAUUAUGUAUUAGGAUAAAUCUCAACGUUGUAAAUUGUAAUGAAGAUGUGAAAUCUCGUAAAUGAGAAUCAAAAUCUUGUAAUCUACAAGAUUAUGGAUACAAUUUACAAGUUUAUGGAAUCUUCAUUUCCAAAAUAGUGUAACAUAAGUCCUUAAUGUUGUAAACCCUUGUAAAUUAGGCCAUUACAAUAUUAUGGAUUAAAGUGAACCUUAAUGUUGUAAUCACCAUGCGAGAUCUCAUAACUGGAACCCAAAUCUAGUAACGUACAAGAUUAGGGAUAUACUUUACAUAUUAUGGAACUCUCAAGUCCCAACUAUUAUAAAAUGAGUCUUUAAUGUUGUAAAUUAUUGUUUUUACAACAAUAAGGAACACUCUUUUAUGACAUUAUGGUACCCUCGGUCCUUAAACUUUUAACAAAAUUAUUUACUAGAAUAAUGACCCAUUUUACGACGUUAAGGUACCCUCGGUCCUUAAUCUUGUAAAUCAUUGUUUACUAGAAUAAAGACCCAUUUUAUAUCCCAAAGGUCCACCAUUACCAAUUCUUUAUAAUGUGGAUCCAUAUUCUUGUAAAAGACUUAUUUACAACAUUAUGGAUUUGGUGAACCCUAACAUUGUAAUCUAUGAGCAAAACCUGGUAAAUUGUUACCAAAAACUUGUAAGUUACGAGUUUAGGGAUUCUCUUUACGAUGUUAUGGUACUCUCGGUCCUUAAACUUUUAACAAAAUUAUUUACUAGAAUAAAGACCCAUUUUACAUCGCUAAGGUCCACCAUUACCAAUUCCUUAUAAUGUAGAUCCAUAUCCUUGUAAAAUGGUGAUUUACAACAUUGUGGAUUUGGUAAAUCCUAACAUUGUAAUCUAGGAGCAAAACCUUGCAAAUUGUUACCAAAAACUUGUAAGUUAUGAGUUCAGGGAUUCUCUUUACGAUGUUAUGGUACCCUCAGUCCUUAAUCUUGUAAAACAUUUUUUACCAGAAUAAUGACCCAUUUUACAUCGCUAAGGUCCAUCAUUACCAAUUCCUUGUAAUGUGGAUCCAUAUCCUUGUAAAAGGCUGAUUUACAACAUUAUGAAUUUGGUGAACCCUAACGUUGUAAUCCAGGAGCAAAACUGACAGGACUUGACCCAAAUUCCCCUUUUAAAUCCAAGCCGAACCCUGUUCGUGAUCGACACCUGGCAGGUGCCGAGCACAAAUGACCUGGUUGCCCUUCUGGUUACAAACUUACUUUCAUUUUUACCUUGACUUCUACUGAAAAUUCGGCAGAGUCUCCCCUGUAAUUUGUUCAAUCCCAAAAUUACACCUGUCAAAACAAGCAUAUAUACAUAACCCAACUUCUAGCAUGCGUAUAUAUAUACAAUCAACAGUAAAGUUCGAGCCCAGGGGCAAUAUCAGAGCAUCUAUACAGAUUAAUUUACAAGAAGAACAUUUGGAGGGUCAAGGGCCCUACACUAAGCUGAAGAGAUGCAGGAAGCGGAAACUGCCCUGUGGUGGCUUUCAAAUGCACGUCUACGGCCUGGGGGCUCAAAACAUUUAAAAGGUGAGUGGACCCAAAAACAAAGUUUUAAGAAAAAUAGCAUAAGAACAUACUAACCCCACCGUGAAAACAAUUAUACAAAACUAAUUCAUUCUUUUAAUCAUAUACAUACUGAAAUCAAUGCACUCAUAUAUAUAUAAAUAUAUGUCAAGCAAACUCAUAUCAUCUUUAAACUCUUAAAAGCACUGAAAUCAGUUUAAAACUACCACCUAGGUGUACCCCUUAAAUUCUGUCAAUUCCUGAUAAGGUCAAUUCCUGAUAAUCCGUCAAUUCCCCUGGUAGGUCUCGGUGACACAAAAUCAACCUGAGCCGCAAACUGGCAGGAUUCAGGGGACCGUAGUCAGCCUGAUCCUCAUUCCUGGACCUCACGGUCCGGGCGUCCCCGAAACUCGUGAAGCAAAUGUCAAGCGCGCUGACAAAACUGAAGGCAACUUGGAUGUCCGUGGACAUCGUCAUAUCCGAAGGCAACAUAUACCGAAGGCAACCUGUUUCUAUAACUGGGUACCUAAGGUGGCUUAAGAAAAUCUAAAAAUCUUUGAAAAAUAUGAUAAAUAACUGAAUUUUUGUUAAAUCUAGAACUUUGCUGCCAUUUAUCUGUUAUUUAGCUAAAAUUUCCUUUUCCUAUAUCCAUAACGGAUAUCUCACUCGGUAGCAUGUGAAUUCAAAACAUUUAAAAGCAUAUAUCAACUAAUAAAACACUAAUCUUUGAAUAAAACGUAUUCAAGAUCAAAUAUUGUAACUAAAUAGCAUAAAUUCAUUUAUGAAAACAAAGAGUCCACUCACAGCUGGUCCGAGCUCGCUGGACCUUUUGGAGGUCCCUCCUGCUGGUCAACUGGUGCCCGGGUGCCUCACUCGUCCAAUUUGGUGGCUGGAUGAAGGAGAACGAAAGCUUGGAAGUUAUGUCAACUCCGGCGUGAUCUCGAGCAUUUUCCGGCAAAAAACAGCGGUUCCAAGGGCAGGGACCGGUUGGGAAAGGAAGAGGAAGCAGUGGUGGUUCGAUUGGGUUCGGUCCCGUCGGUCGGAGUGGAGUGUGGCGAUGGUUAUGGAGGUUUGAAGGUAACGGUUUAAAAUAGGGGGGGCCUGCUGGUCGAGAGAGAAGAGUGAGGGAGGAGAGAGAGACAGUCAGUUUUUAAAAAAAAUCCUGAUUUCAAAAUUACCAUUUUCUCCUUCUACGUAUUUUGACCGUAUUUUCUUCGUUACAACUCCGAUUCGAGUCCACUCCGUGUCUACGGACUCAUUUCAUUGUACUCUACGCAACGAUGCAAGUGAAAUAGUCAAAUUCUUUCUCGGUCAAAAAGUCAAGUUUUCCUUUACUAGAAUAUUCUAAGGGCAAAAGUGUCCUUUCUUCUUAAUAGUUUAAUAGUUAACUAUUAAUUAAGGUUUGGGUCAUUACAAUCUACCCCCUUAUAAAACAUUUCGUCCUCGAAAUUUACGUACCUGUCACUCGAAGAGGUAAGGGUACUGUUCCCGCAUUUGGUCCUCGGGUUCCCAUGUAGCCUCUUUCACAUUAUGACUUCUCCACAAGACCUUCACGAGUGGGAUCUCCCUCGAACGCAAUACUUGCAUCUUCCAAUCCAAAAUAUGGACUGGUUGCUCUAUAUAAGUCAAAUCUUCUUGUAAUUCUAUUGGUUGUUCUUCCAAAACAUGAGAAGGAUCAGAAAUGUACUUCCGAAGCAUCGAGACAUGGAAUACAUCGUGCAACAGGGAAAGAUCUGAAGGUAAAGCAAGCCUGUAAGCUACUGGGCCCAUACGCCCCACGAUCUCAUAUGGCCCAAUAUAGUGAGGACUUAGUUUUCAUCGCCUCCCAAAUCUCAUUACGCCCUUCCAAGGCGAUAACUUCAGAAAUGCCCAAUCACCAACCUCAAACUGGAGGUCUUUCCUUCUAUUGUCUGCAUAGCUCUUUUGUCGGUCCUGGGCUACCUUGAGUCGUUCUCUAAUUAUUUUCACAUGUUCCUUCAUCCGUUCAACAUCAUCUGACACUUCCAAUCUGUGCUCACCUACUUCAUCCCAAUAAAAUGGAGUUCUACACUGUUUCCCAUAUAAGGCAUCAAAUGGAGACAUCUUGAUACUCACCUGGUAGCUGUUAUUAUAGGCAAACUGCAUAAGUGGCAACUUCUCAUCCUAGUCACCUCGAAACUGCAGUGCACAAGGUCUCAGCAUAUCUUAUAAAGUCUGAAUUGUCCUUUCAGACUGACCAUCUGUUUGGGGGUAAAAUGCAGUACUAAACCGCAACUGGGUUCCGAAAGCUUCAUUUAACUUCACCCAAAAACGGGAGGUAAACCGUGGAUCUCUAUUUGAAAUAAUAGAUACUGGCACCCCAUGAAGUCUAAGUAUCUCAUCUAUGAAGAUCUUGGCCAACUUAUUUAGCAUGUAGUUUGCUCUCACCGGUAAGAAGUGGGCAGAUUUGGUGAGUCGAUCCACGAUUACCCAAACUCCAUCAUGCUUAUUCUGUGUUCGGGGAAGCUUAAAUAUGAAAUCCAUAGUAAGAUGUUCCCACGUCCAUUCGAGAAUCGGAAGUGGUUGUAACAACCCUAAUGGUUUCUGCCGUUUAGCUUUCACUUGCUGAUAAAUUAAGCACAUCCUGACAUAUUCUGCUAUUUCUUUCUUCAUAAAAGGCCACCAGUAGUGCUCUCUCAAAGUAUGGUACAUUUUUGUACUUCCAGGGUGCAUUGCAAAAGCUGAACCAUGGGCCUCCUCAAGAAUUUCCCUCUUUAAAGCUUCAUCAUUAGGGACAUAUAACCUGGUACCCACCAUUAAAGCUCCAUCAUUUCUUACUGAACAGUCAGUUCUGUCACCAUUCUCCACCUCUGCUUGUAGUGUGCAAAUCAAAGGAUCCUGUGAUUGAGCGACGAGUAUUCGUUCCACUAGCACUGGUCUCACAUGGAGAGUAGCUAAUAGUGCUCCCUGAUUAUCCACACCUAGCUCAACUCUGAGCUUCCUCAUUUCUACCAUCAAUGGCACGUACCUCUCUCGGAGAUAAGCUACAGAUCCCGAGGAUUUCCUGCUGAGUGCAUCAGGUACAACAUUAGCUCUUCCUGGGUGAUGCUCAAUGGUACAAUCGUAGUCCUUAAUCAACUCUAGCCAUCUUCUUUGCCUCAAAUUCAAUUCCUUAUGGGUGAAUAAAUACUUUAAACUCUUGUGAUCCGUAAAAAUCUGACAUGUUUCCCCAUAGAGAUAGUGCCGCCAAAUCUUUAAGGCAAAAACCACUGCAGCUAAUUCCAAAUCAUGAACAUGAUAAUUCUACUCAUGCUUCUUUAGUUGUCUAGAAGCAUAAGCAAUUACCCGACCAUGCUGCAUUAGCACACAACCAAGUCCCUGUUGGGAUGCAUCACUGUAGAUCACGAAAUUUUCACUAUCAUCUGGAAGUGCUAAAACCAGAGCGGUGGUUAACAUGGUCUUGAGUUCAUUAAAGCUUUUCUCAUGCUCAUCUGACCAUUCAAACUUAACUCCUUUUCUUGACAAACUAGUGAGAGGCGCCGCUAUAGCAGAAAAACCUUCCACAAAGCGACGGUAAUACCCGGCUAACCCAAGGAAACUCCGUACCUCAGUAAGACUGGUUGGUCGUGGCCAGUUCACUACUACCUCAAUCUUCUGGGGAUCAACAUAAAUAUCCUCUGCAGAGAUCACAUGCCCCAAGAAACUAACUUUGUCCAACCAGAACUGACACUUGCUGAAUUUGGCAUACAAUUGCCUCCUCCUCAGAGUCUUCAGCACAAUUUCCAAAUGCUUCAUGUGUUCCUUCUGACUCUUAGAAUGCACCAGAAUGUUGUCUAUGAAUACAAUCACAAAGCGAUCCAAGUAACGUCGGAACACCCUGUUCAUGAGAUCCAUAAACGCAGCUGACGCAUUGGUCAACCCAAAUGGCAUCACCAGGAACUCAUAGUGCCCAUACCUCGUUCAGAAAGCUGUCUUAGGCACAUCCUCUUCUUUAAUCCGUAAUUGAUUAUACCCAGAUCUCAAAUCAAUCUUGGAAAAUACCUUGGCACCCUUCAGCUGGUCAAAUAAAUCAUCAAUGCGAGGCAAAGGAUACUUGUUCCGCACCGUGACUUUGUUCAGUUGCCUGUAGUCAAUGCAUAACCUCAUGGUGCCAUUCUUCUUCUUAACAAACAGCACUGGAGCACCCUAAGGGGAAAAACUAGGUCGGAUGAAGCCCUUAUCUACUAGCUCCUGCAACUGAAUCUUUAAUUCCUUCAACUCUGCUGGUGCCAUUCUGUAUGGUGCUUGAGAUAUAGGAUUCGUUCCUGGAACGAGCUCAAUGGUGAACUCGAUCUCCCGGUGAGGAGGUAACCCAGGAAUAUCCUCGGGGAAUACAUCCGGAAAUCCCUGUACCACUGGAAUAUGUUCCAAUCUCUGCCCAUGAUCUCUGGUAUUGAUCACAUGUGCUAAAUAUCCUGAGCACCAUUUUCUGAGUAACCGUUUUGCUGUCAUAGCUGAAAUGAGGCAAGAUGGAAGCACUCUGCGCUCGCCAAAAAAUGUCAUUUCAGGUCGUCCGGGACUACGGAAUACAACCUCUUUCCUAAAACAAUCCAUUGAGGCAUGAUGCUUGGCCAACCAAUCCAUGCCUAAAAUGACAUCCAAGUCAACCAGUCCCAAAGGGACCAAAUCUGCUUCCAAAAAUACAUCUCCCACUAGCACUGUACUAUCUCGAUACACCGUACCUACUUGAAAAAUCUCUCCUGUAGGUACAGAGAUCUCUAGUUGGUUCUGUAGGGCUGAAAGUCUUACAUUAGCAUUGUGGGCAAAACUAGGUGUGACAAAUGAGUGCGUAGCCCCAGGGUCAAUCAAAACUCUAGCAAGGAUUCCAAAAACUGGUAAAAUACAUGUGAUCACGUCAGGUGACGCCUGUGCUUCUUGCUGGGACAUAUUGUACACUCUGCCUGUGGCUCUGGAACGUCCACCCUGUCCCUUAUGCUGACUACCACCUCGGUUGGCAAUACUGGUCUGGGCUCCACCACUGGACGAGGCCCCUACAAACUGUGAUGUCCCCUGUGAUCUGCCCUGAGUGCCUAUCCCCUGAGGCAAUGUGACUGUAGCCUCUCCACCCUGAAGCAAUAUCGGGCACUCCCUUAGAAAAUGUCCAGAUUGACCACAAUGGAAACAUCCAGUAGUGCCCUGUCAGCAAGUCCCAGUAUGAUACCUACCACACUCAGCACACUGAGGAUUCCUCCUCCUACCAGAUGCUGACUGUAGCUGUCUCCCAGAACCUCUAGCUGUACUACCCCUGGAGUGGUUCCCAGAACUGCCACUCUGGUUGGAACCUCCACUAGAACUGACUCUAGGUCAAAAACCUCCAUAACUGCGGCCACUAGGUGACCCAGAGCUGUAACUGCGUCUCUUGGAUGACCCCUGACUGGGACCACCCAUAUCAAACUACCUCCUUCGAGGUUCACCCCGUGCUCUGACCAUCAUCUGGCUGCUCUCAAUCAAUGAAGCAGACAUCACCAAAUCCCCAAAAUUAGUCAACCGCUAGCUAAUCACAAUAUCUCUAAUGGAGGCCUUCAACCCUCUAGUAAACAACUGACAUUUCUUAUUCUCAUCCUCGACUAGUGGAACACAGUACUUAGACAGUUCAUUGAACUUUUUCUCAUACUCAAGUACGGUCAUUGUACCUUGUUCCAACUGCAAAAAUUCCUCCAUUUUCAUAUUCUGGUAGGCCUAUGGGUAGUACUGACUGUCAAAUGCAGCUCGAAAUAAUUGCCAAGUGAUGGCUGACGGAUCUCAAUAUCUCCUUUUAACAGACUCCCACCAAUGUCUAGCAUUCCUGAUCAAAAAGAAAGUGGCCAGAGUUACCCUACGGUUCUGUGCAACGGCCAUCACCUUCAUGAUCAGCUCCAUCCUCUCUAUCCACUCUUCAGCCACUGCUGGGUCGCCAUCACCAUCAAAAUCUAUGGCCCCAAUCCUCUUAGCUUGGUCAGCAUAUCCUAGGGAGGGAUCUCUGGACUGCCCAGUCCUGGAUAGAGCCUGGGUCAACAACUCCAAAGUCUGCUAGAAAAUAGGACCUCCCGGCAUAGUGGGCAUGGGAGGUGCGGCCCCUGAUGGGCCUCCAACAAAAGACUGCUCUACCGAUUCUGGUACCGGUGCAGAAAUGGGAAAUUCCUCUUGCUCGAGAGGGGGAUUAUGUCCCCUGACUCGGGACGACUGUCUGGUCCCUCUACGGAAGCCACCACGUUUCGGGCCCAUGCUUACUGUCAUAAGAAAUAAUUGUUCAGUAAAACUGGAAAGCACAAAGUGCGGAGUCUACAGGAAGUUAAACCUAAUGCUCUGAUACCAAGUUGACAGGACCCAACCCAAAUUCCCCUUUGGAAUCCGAGCCGAACCUUGUUCGUGAUCGACACCUGCGGGUGCAAGCACAAAUGACCUGGUUGCCCUUCUGGUUACAAACUUACUUUCAUUUUUGCCUUGACUUCUACCAAAAAUUCGGCAGAGUCUCCCCUAUAAUUUGUUCAAUCCAAAAAUUACACCUGUCAAAACAAGCAUAUAUACACAACCCAACUUCCAGCAUGCAUAUAUAUCUACAAUCAACAAUAAAGUUCGAGCCCAGGGGCAAUAUCAGAGCAUCUAUACAGAUUAAUUUACAAGAAGAAUAUUUGGAGGGUCAAGGACCCUACACUAAGCUGAAGAGAUGCAAGAAGCGGAAACUACCCUGUGGUGGCUUUCAAAUACAUGUCUACGGCCUGGGGGCUCAAAACAUUUAAAAGGUGAGUGGACCCAAAAACAAAGUUUUAAGAAAAAUAGCAUAAGAACAUACUAACCCCACUGUAAAAACAGUUAUACAAAACUAAUUCAUUCUUUUAAUCAUAUACAUACUGAAAUCAAUGCACUCAUAUAUAUACAAAUAUAUGCCAAGCAAACUCAUAUCAUCUUUAAACUCUUAAAAGCACUGAAAUCAGUUUAAAACUACCACCUAGGUGUACCCCUUAAAUUCUAUCAAUUCCUGAUAACCCGUCAAUUCCUGAUAAUCUGUCAAUUCCCCUGGCAGGUCUCGGUGACACAAAGUCAACCCAAGCUGCAAACUGGCAUGAUUCAGGGGACCGUAGUCAGCCUGAUCCUCAUUCCUGGCUCUCACGGUCCCGGCGUCCCCUAAACUCGUGAGGAAAAUGUCAAGCACGUUGACAAAACUGAAGGCAACUUGGAUGUCCGUGGACAUCGUCAUAUCCGAAGGCAACAUAUACGGAAGGCAACCUGUUUCUAUAACUGGGUACCUAAGGUGGCUUAAGAAAAUCUAAAAAUCUUUGAAAAAUUUGAUAAAUAACUGAAUUUCUGUUAAAUCUAGAACUUGCUGCCAUUUAUAUGUUAUUUAGCUAAAAUUUCCUUUUCCUAUAUCCAUAACGGAUAUCUCACUCGGUAGCAUGUGAAUUCAAAACAUUUAAAAGCAUAUAUCAACUAAUAAAACACUAAUCUUUAAAUAAAACUUAUUCAAGAUCAAAUAUUAUAACUGAAUAGCAUAAAUUCAUUUAUGAAAACAAAGGGUCCACUGACAGCUGGUCCGAGCUUGCUGGACCUUUUGGAGGUCCCUCCUGCGGGUCAACUGGUGCCCGGGUGCCUCACUUGUCCGAUUUGGUAGCCGGAUGAAGGAGAACGAAAGCUUGGAAGUUCUGUCAACUCCGGCGUGAUCUCGAGCAUUUUCCGACGAAAAACAGGUGUUCCAAGGGCAGGGACCGGUCGGGAAAGGAAGAGGAAGCAGCGGUGGUUUGAUUGGGUCUGGUCCCGUCAAUUGGAGUGGAGUGUGGCGGUGGUUAUGGAGGUUUGAAGGUAACGAUUUAAAACAAGGGGGGCGGCUGGUCGAGAGACAAGAGUGAGGGAGGAGAGAGAGAGUCAGUUUUUAAAAAAAAAUCUUGAUUUCAAAAUUACCAUUUUGCCCUUCUACGUAUUUUGACCGUAUUUUCUUCGUUACAACUCCGAUUCGAGUCCACUCCGUGUCUACGAACUCGUUUCGUCGCGCUCUAUGCAACGAUGCAAGUGGAAUAGUCAAAUUCUUUCUCGGUCAAAAAGUCAACUUUUCCUUUACUAGAAUUUUCUAAGGGCAAAAGUGUCCUUUCCUCUUAAUAGUUUAAUAGUUAACUAUUAAUUAAGGUUUGGGUUAUUACAAAAAUCUUGUAAAUUGUUACCAAAAAAUUGUAAGUUACGAGUUGAGGGAUUCUUUUUACAACGUUAUGCUACCCUCAUAUCCCAAAAUUGUAAAAUCGGCCCUUAAUCUUGUAAACCCUCAUUUUACUAGAAUAAGGACCCCAAUUUACAUCCUCAUGGUCCGCACUUACCAAUUCCUUGUGAUGUCGAUCUAUAUCCUUAUGAAAUAAGAAUUUACAACGUUAAGGAUUAUUAUGAGAACCCUAACGUUGUAAUCGUGGUGCAAAAAUCUGUAAAUCACUACCUAGUCGUGUAACUUAUAUGUUUUUAGAUCUUCCUUACAAGGUUAUGGUACCCUCGUAUCCCAAAAUUGUAAAAUUGCUCCUUAAUCUUGUAAACCCUCAUUUUACUAGAAUAAAGACCCAAUUUAUAUCUUCAUGGUCUGGAGUUACCAAUUCCUUGUAAUGUGGAUCCAUAUCCUUGUGAAUGGGGAUUUACAACAUUAUGGAUUAGGUGAACCCUAAUGUUGUAAUUAUGGUUCAAAAACUUGUAAAUCACUACCCAAAUCUUGUAAAUUUUGGGAUCCUCUUACAAUGUUAUGGUACUCUCGUAUCCAAACUAUUGUAAUACCAGUCCUUAGUCUUGUAAACCAUCGUAUUCCUUGUAAUGUUGAUUUUUGUCCUUAUAAAAUGGGGAUUUACAUGGGAAGCUAGGAGAUUGGUAACUUUCUUCUACUUCAUUACCCCAUUUAGUAUUUUAUUAUAUUACAAUACAUAUAUAAAAAAAUUAGUAUUUUAGUUGAAAUUAUACAUAUUAUAUGUAAAUACUAUAUAUAUAUUUAUGAGUGGAUAUUCUUAUUAAACAAUUUUGUUAUGGAUGGGAAAGGGGAAACCCAUAUAACAAGGAUAUGAACCAAAAAUCAGAGGAGGAUCAUAAGAGAGAGUUUUGUGGGAACAUGAAUAUGAGGAUGACAAUGUAUUAAAUUAUUUGUUUAGGCAUAGAAAUAAGUUUGUAAAAGCAUAUUUUGAAUAUGCUAUGAGUCAUAUUCAAGAAAUAAUAUAUAGUGUUAGUUUUAAGACAUUUCUCUCAAAUUAUUUUAGAAUAGCUUGAAUUCUAAAAUUUCGUACAUGAGAAGCGAAUGAGAUGGUAAUUCAAUUACUUUCUCCCCCUUCAUUACCUCAUUUAGUAUUUGUUUAUGUUACAUACUUAUAUAAAAUUUUGAGUAUUUUAGUUGAAAUUGUAUAUAUUAUAUGUAAAUAUCAUAUUUAUGUAUUAUAUAUUGAUUAUAAAGUUUAUUUAAGUAUUAUAUUAUUAUAUAUUCUUAUUUAACAUUUUUUUUUACUAAUCGGAACAUGAACCAAUUAUAUUACGAAGAUAUGAACCAAAAACAUAGAAGGAUCAUAAGGGAAAUUUUUAUUGGAAGAUGCUAUGAUUCAUCUUCUGUUAUAAGAUAUUUGUUUAAAGUUAUUUUUAGAAUAAGCACUAAUACAUAUAUAUUUUUGUAUAAUAAUAUAUCAUCUUCAGAAGUAAUUAUAGUGUGGCUUCAGAGUAUGGUCAUAUAAUAUUUAUUAUAAUAUAAGUGGAUAUUUAUUGAUGUUAUGCCUUAAAAGUUGAAUAUCUUAUCAUUGAUUGAUAUUAAACUCGUAAACGAGUUAUACUAUGUAGUCGUAUUUUAGUUCCUUAUAGUAAUUUAUUCACAUCUAAAAAAUGACAAAAAAAUUAAAAAAUUUUAAAAAAAAUGAAAAGAAUAGUUUAGAUGUUUAAAAAUUAUUUCAGUUUGGCCAAUUGGAUUUAUAUAAAGUUACCCAAGUUGUAUUGAUUUUGGUUACAAGUUAUAUAAAGCAACCCCUAACUCAUGACAAAAAUCUGCAAAUGUUGUGAAAUAAUUGAAAUAAUUAUAACAACAUUAUGGUCCACCCUAAUCCAUAACACUGUAAUACCCUAAUUUACGAAGAAAAUGACACAUAGUACCAAAGUAGGAAUGGCCUUUGGAGGAGUAAAAUUAGGUCAUUAUCCUUGUAAACACAGCUAAAAAUUUUGUAAUCAACGAGAAAACUUGUAAACUUUCUACUUUUAUACUUGUUUUUCUUGAAUUUUAAUCUUAACAAUGUAGUAUAAAAUCCAUGGCCAUGUUAGGAAAAAAAUAUAAAUGUAUAAUACGUCGUGGAUGUCUACAAAAGUACAACUAUUGUAACAUAGAGUUCAACAAUUAAUAUAGUUCUUAUUUUAGAAAUUGAUUUCAACCAAUUACAUAGACAAAACUCGAGGUGAAAAAAUUUGAUGGAUAAAGACUUUCAAGCUUUUCACCAAUUUUAUGAAACAAAAGAAACAAAAAAAUUAGAACUAUCAACCUCAAUUGAUUUUUAAAAACUAGGCAUAAAAUACAGAGGAAUUAACCACAACUAGCUAUCAUAAUUCAUAUAAAUAAAACCAGCAACUCAUAAUGAACUUGAGUAGAGCUUUGAUGAGGUGACAUAUUGAAAUAAGAAAAAAAAAAGUCUAAAACGGUUCUCAUAAAAAAGAGUCUAAAAUGGUAACAACUCAAUUGAAAAAUAACAUGUCAAAUCAUAUGCCAAUUGCCAAACAGAAAGGGAAUAAUUGCAUGACCCUUAUGCAAUUGCAUUUGUGUUAAAUAUUAACAAAAAAUGGAAACUUGAUGUUUGGGGGUGGUCAAAAUUCACUCAAUCUGCCAAUGAGGAAUUCUUAGUGGCCGAGAAUUCUUAGCUGCCGAGAAUUCCUAGUUGUCAAAGAAUUCCUAGCAGCCGAAAACUCCUAGAGGUUGAAGAAUUCCUAGCGUCCGACAAUUCCUAGCGGUCGAAGAAUUCCUAGCGGCCGAGAUGCCUUCUCAAAAAGGUGGCCGAUGUGUUUUCUUUAAAGUUCAUGGUGCCUUCUCAAAAAUGCGGCCGAGAUGUUUUCUUUAAAGGCCAUGGCACUUCUCAAAAAGGUGGGCCGGGCACUCCUUAAAUACCUUGGUCGGCCACUCCUCUUGCAAAAAGCUAGCCGGUCUGCAUUUGUAGUGGAGACUCAAAAAUGGCUAGGCGAAUCUGCUAGAGUUUCUCGACCAGGUGAAAUCCAAGGUGUGGCCAGUUGGGCCUUGAGGUUUUUAGCAGGCCAGAGCUCGGGAUUCUUGUGGCCGGACCUUGGGGGUUUCGUGGAAGCUGAAGGGCAAGGCCGGCCUGGAGCGAGAUGCGGCUGGGAGUCGUUCGAGAUAAGGCUGGGCAUAGUUCAAAGUGCGGCUAGCUGGGCUGUGCUCGAAAGUGGCUAGGGCUGCAACAUGCAGCUGGGCACGCCCAGAACUACUAGGAUAUCUCACGGCUAGGGUAUGUUGGAAGGUGCGAGUGGAAUGUUGAAGCUGAUGCCCAGUUUUUUCGUGACCAGAGGCGUCAGGGGCUACAAGGAUCUCUGCAGCUGGUGCCUUGGGCUUUUGGCAAUUAGAGAUUGAGGCCGGCCGGGUUUGGAGGCUCGAAGGGAAGAUUGGCAUCCUGGAUUUGGUCUUUUUGCAGCUAGGAUUUCUUCAGGCUGAAGUCUUUAAUAUAUAUAUAUAUACUAACUCUUCAACAGUCUGAGCCUCUAUUUAUACUACAUCACUUCUCUGAGUCAGAGUCAAUUGCUAGCAUAGAUACUGAAUCUAGUAAUAUUUCUAAAAUAGAAAAUGCGUUUAGAAAUAUUGAUUGAAAUUAAUCCACAAGUACAGAGAUUAACAAACAGAGUCAGCCCUACUAGCUUCACAAAAAAUUGGUAUCCUAAGCCUACGCCACCUGAUAUCCAGUUCGAAGAACGAAAUACUCAAAACCAGUUUUCUGUUUCUUAUGAUAAAUUAUACGAAUGGAAUAUUGAUGGUUUUUCUGAACAAGAAAUCCUUAAUAAACUUCAACAUAUGUCUAUGGUCGCCAAUAGUUACAUCACCAAUCACAGUUCAGACAAUCUGAAAUUGUCCCCCUAUUAGAAACAGGUUUCACAGGAACUCUUCGUUCUUGGUGGGACAAUAAUUUAACACACGAAUCUAAGCAACGAAUAAUUCAUUCGCUAAAACUUAAUGAAGAUGGUCUUCCUAUUUUUGAUGAACAAAUAGGUCAAGGCAUCGAAGAUGGAGUCAAUACCCUGCUUUACACAAUAGUCAAUCAUUUUAUUGGAACGCCUAGUAAUACUACUGCUAGAAUACAUGAUCAAUUGAGUAAUUUGAGAUGCCCCAAAUUAUCUGAUUUUAGAUGGUAUAAAGACAUAUUUAUUUCCAGAGUCAUGAUUAGAGACAACAGUAAUCAGCCUUUUUGGAAAGAAAAAUUUGUUAAUGGAUUGCCGAAUUUAUUUGCUCAUAAAAUGCGAUCAACCCUUAGUAAUGAACAAGGUCAUAUUGAUUGGGAUAGCUUAACUUAUGGAAACAUAAUCAGUACUAUCAAUCAAGUCGGAAUGCGGAUGUGUGUCGAUAUGAAAAUUGGUAAACAAAUCCAAUCUGAAAGAAAUUAUGCCAAAUAUGAGUUAGGUAAUUUCUGCGAACAGUAUGGUUUAAUGUCUAUCCCCCCGUCUCGAAAAAAUAAGCUUAGUUAUCAUAACCGACAGUUUAGCAAAAAGCGCCAUCAUUCACGUAGAAAACAGUCAUUCCAACACAAUAAUGAAGAUAAAGAAUUUUAUAGUAAAAGGAGAUUCUCCCCUAAGAAAAAUUGGAAAAAGAGUCAUAAUAAAGAUAAGAAUAGCAGCUUUAAGAAAAGAACCGACAAAAGAAAAGUGAAAUGUUAUAAAUGUCAAAAGUAUGGUCACUAUGCCAAUAUUGUAAAGUUAAAAACACAAUCAAACAAUUAUAAGUCACGGAUGAAGAAAAAGACAAAUUAAUUAAAGUCCUUGAGUUAGAAAAUACUGAGUCAAGUGAAAACGAAACCAUGGUUAGCCACACUGAGUUGUCUGAAAUAUAUUCUUCUGAGUCACAAUCCAGUUCACCCAGAAUCCAAUUUGGUUGUCAAGAUAAUUGCUGCAAAUCUAAGUCAAUCAAUGUCCUUACCAAACAGGAAGAACAAGAAGAAUUGUUAAUCGAUUUAAUAAGUAGAGUUGAAAAUCCCGAAUUAAAAUCUGAAUAUUUAAAGAAAUUAAGAAAAGUCAUUAAUCGCGAGGAACAAAAACAGUCCACCCAAAAGAUAAGUCUGAACACAACCUUAGAAAAAUUUAACAAAAAGAAAGAAGUCACCUUACAGGAUUUACAAUGAGAAGUAAAGACAAUUAAAAAAGAAAUCAUUGAGUUAAGACAAAUAAGCCAAAAAUUACAAAGUGAAAAUUAUGAAAUAAAACAAGAUCUCAUUAAUCUAUUAGAAAAGAAAAUCUCUGAGUCUAAAGCAGAGAGUCCCAUUAAUUCAGAUGAAGAAAACUCUAUCCAAGAUCAAGCUGUUAAUUUAAUUAAACAUCUAAAUUUUAGGAAAUGGUAUGCCAGAGUCACUAUAUUUGUCAAAAGCUUUAAGUUAAACAUAGUCGCCCUUUUUGAUUCAGGGGCUGACCUUAAUUGCAUCCAAGAAGGACUAAUCCCAACUAAGUAUUAUAAAAAGUCAAGAGAAUCUUUAAGUACUGCCUCGGGAAAAUCACUCCAAUUGAAUUAUGAAAUCCCUAAAGCCUAUGUCUGUCAAAACAAAAUCUGCUUUAAAACUUCUUUUGUCUUAAUUAAAAUAUCACUGAUGAAGUUAUAUUAGGUCUUCCAUUUAUCGCCCUUUUGUACCCUUUCCAGGUUGAACAUGAUGGUGUCAUUUCCACCUGUCUAGGAAAAAAAUAAAAUUUGAAUUUUUUAGUAAACCUGAGUUACAUAAUUUAAAAGAAUUCCAAAAAAAUGCGGUCACUAAAACAGUCAAGAUAAUUCAAAAUAAAGAUAAACAACUAAGAUUUCUUCAAGAAGAAGUUAAAGCUAAGAGGAUUGAGCAACAAUUAGGUCAUAAGCCUUUACAAUCGCAAAUUCAACAGUUUGAAGAAAAACUAAAACAAGAAGUCUGUUCUGAAUUGCCCAACGCGUUCUGGCAUAGGAAACAACAUGUUGUCAGCCUUCCCUGUGUCAAAUCCUUUAGUGAGAAAAAUAUUCCUACUAAAGCAAGACCUAUUCAAAUGAGCCAAGAACUAAUGGAAUUUUGUAAAAUUGAGAUUACCGAUUUGCUCAAAAAGGGAAUAAUUCGUAAGAGUAAGUCACCCUGGUCUUGUCCUGAUUUUUAUGUACAGAAAAAUGCUGAGUUAGAAUGCGGAGUCCCCAGACUAGUCAUUAAUUACAAGCCACUUAAUACUGUCUUAGAAUGGAUUAGAUACCCAAUUCCUAACAAAAGAGAUUUAAUUAAUCGAUUGGAAAAUUCAGUUAUCUUUUCUAAGUUUGAUAUGAAGAGUGGAUUUUGGCAAAUUCAAAUUUCUGAGUCUGAUAGAUAUAAAACUGCUUUUGUUACCCCAUUUGGUCAUUAUGAGUGGAAUGUUAUGCCAUUUGGUCUUAAGAAUGCUCCUAGUGAAUUCCAGAAUAUAAUGAAUGAGAUCUUUAAUCCUUUCAGUCAUUUUUCCAUAGUUUAUAUUGAUGAUGUGCUUAUAUUCUCUGAAUCCAUAGAACAACACUAGAAACAUCUGCAUAAGUUUUUACAAAUAGUUAAACAAAAUGGCUUAGUUGUCUCUGCUAAGAAAAUUAAGUUAUUCCAAACUAAUGUGAGAUUUCUUAGGUUUAACAUCUACCAGUCACAGAUUAGUCCCAUAGAUCGAGUUAUCUAGAUUGCUGAUAAGUUUCCUGACCAAAUCCUAGACAAGAGUCAACUCCAGAGAUUUCUAGGAUCUCUAAAUUCUGUUUCUAACUUUUAUCAAAAUCUGAGAAAACAAUGUAAGCCUUUAUUUGAUCGUCUCCAAAAUAAUCCUCCCCCAUGGUCGUCUGCUCAUACUAAAUAUUGUUGUAUGUAAUCUAAAUCGUUUAAACUACGCUGGAUAGGAACUGGAGGGAUCUCAGUGUUUAAGGUCCAACCGGAUGGGAGCGUAACUUCUGACCAUUUGAUAGAGUGAGGAACUCUAAGAGUAGCAUCAGGUGUAUGACUCUGGAUUAACAGUGUUUGACUCUUCAGGCUCUUGUUUAAGGCUUGGAAAUUCAUAUUUGUACCGGUGACUUUGUAAUAAAUUCUAUAGACUAAAGCUAGGAGUUGGCUUCCUGGCAAAACAUCACACAUACUCAAAAUAGCUUGCCAACGUGCAAAUAUUUGUUUGGAUGCAAUAUUUUGAACAUCUUUUUCUAAUACAUGCUUAGCAGACUUACAAUCAACUCUGACUAAAAAAAUUUGAUUUAAUAAAUUAGAUUGAAAUUUAUUAAUGCAUAGUACGAUAGAUAAUAUUUCUUCCUUAAUAGUACUAUAAUUAUUUUGAGAUUGGGACCAAGUGCCAGAAUGGAAUAGAAUGAUUUGCUCGGAUUGACUAGAAGUGACUCUUUGUUUGAGGAUACCUCCAUAACCUACAUUAGAAGCAUCAGUUUCAACAAUCUUAAAUGAAUUAGCAGAAGGAAUACCAAGACAGGGAAGAGUCUUAAUAUGAGCUUUGAUCUGUUUGAAAAUUUCAGUAUGAGCAGACGACCAUGGGGGAGGAUUAUUUUGGAGACGAUCAAAUAAAAGCUUACAUUGUUUUCUCAGAUUUUGAUAAAAGUCAGAAACAUAAUUUAGAGAUCCUAGAAAUCUCUAGAGUUGACUCUUGUCUAGGAUUUGGUCAGGAAACUUAUCAGCAAACUGGAUAACUCGAUCUAUGGGACUAAUCUGUGACUGGCAGAUGUUAAACCCAAGAAAUCUCACAUUAGUUUGGAAUAAUUUAAUUUUCUUAGCGGAGACAACUAAAUUUCGACAGCAAAUUCAAGAGUCCUUUUCCUUUCUGGUUCAAUCACUGGUGGGAAAAACAUGAUCCAAUUAUUGAUUUGUUUCCUCCUCCUAUGCAAGAUUUAGUCAAUUAUUUUACUAAUAAAAAUAAGUUCAAAAAAUCUGAGUUGUUUUUCCUCAAUCUUCUCCAUUUUGUUGCCAAGUAUAAAGUCCCUUGGAUCCUCAAAUGGUCUUAUCAGGUUAAUUGGGAAACCAGAGUCCUAUCUCACCAAUUUUCAAUCAAAUGGUGGGAUAAAUUUAAACUUGAGCGUAUUGCAGAUAUGUUUAUGCUGAUUUUCUUACGAAUUAUUCCCUUUUUGAGCAAAUCGGUAAUCUCAAUUUUACAAAAUUCCAUUAGUUCUUGGCUCAUUUGAAUAGGUCUUGCUUUAGUAGGAAUAUUUCUCACUAAAGGAUUUGACAUAGGGAAGGCUGACAACAUGUUGUUUCCUAUGCCAGAACGCGUUGGGAAAUUCAGAACAGACUUCUUGUUUUAGUUUUUCUUCAAACUGUUGAAUUUGCGAUUGUAAAGGCUUAUGACUUAAUUGUUCCUCAAUCCUCUUAGCUUUAACUUCUUCUUGAAGAAAUCUUAGUUGUUUAUCUUUAUUUCGAAUUAUCUUGACUGGUUUAGUGACCGCAUUUUUUUGGAAUUUUUUUAAAUUAUGUAACUUAGGUUUACUCAAAAAUUCAAAUUUUAUUUUUUCUCCUAGGCAAGUGGAAAUGACACUAUCAUGUUCAACCUGGAAAGGGUACAAAAGGGCGAUAAAUGGAAGACCUAAUAUAACUUCAUCAGUGAUAUUUUUAAUUAAGACAAAAGAAGUUUUAAAGCAGAUUUUGUUUUGACAGACAUGGGCUUUAGGGAUUUCAUAAUUCAAUUGGAGUGAUUUUCCCGAGGCAGUACUUAAAGAUUCUCUUGACUUUUUAUAAUACUUAAAUGUGACCAGGGCGACUUACUCUUACAAAUUAUUCCCUUUUUGAGCAAAUCGGUAAUCUUGAGAAAUGAACGCACAAACCGGCCAGUCAUCCGCUUUCAACAAUUCACAGUACUCAGGAACCUGAGGAUCAGUGGCUGCAAAGAGAGCACUCCUGGAACCUUCUUGAGCACUAAAGAUAAAAUUGGGUAUUAGAUGAUAAGCAGCUUGAACAAUUUUGGGAAGAUCCCUUGCAACAUUAGUCUGCACAAUUCCAGGUGAAACACAUGCUACAGUAAUGCCAGAUUCGGCAGGGAGCUGCUAAUGUAGAACACUACUAAACAUAAUCUGUGCCAGCUUGCUGCUUGAGUAACCCACUAAGCUUGUAUAUUUUCUUUUCCCAGAAACGACGUUCAUGUCUUCUGUGUCAACAAAGCCAACAUAAUGCAUAAACUGGAGGGAUCUCAGUGUUUAAGGUCCAUCGGAUGUAAUUUGGUUGAAGACCAACAAUUGCAAUGAUCUAUCUCCAUCACGAUGAAAUUUUAAAGAUUACCCGAGUAUCAAAAUAUAUAUAUAUAUAUAUUAAAUAAAUGUUGAUGCUCAAAAUGGUCCGGCCAAUAUUGAGUCCAACUUAGUGAUUAGGUAUGCGGGCUCUUCAGCAGGGAAGAGAGCUGAGGCCCUUGGCGAAAUAUAGGUUGAUGGGAAACCUGCAGAAGACAAAGUGGGAGAAGCAAUCGUUAAGCUUCGGACACCGGUGUGGUGCCGGCCGAAGGCUCUCCGAUGCCUAAGUCAGUUACAAGUAGUAAUUCUGGCAGAGUAACAGUAAAAGUGGGAGAAUAGUUACCCUUUUUACCUGGGUAAUGUUCCCUAUUUAUAGGGAAGUGAAAGUAGGAGCUUUGCACAAAGUUCCAAUGUGGGACUUUGUGCAAGCCGUUGUGGUGGCGACACGUGUCCUGGAGAUUAGGUUUGGCAUCUGGGAGCUUCGGUAGGUGUCUGGCACCUCGGAAGUGUGUCUUCCUUCGGCACAGGAGAAGGCGUGGCUGCCUUGGUGCUAGUCACUUUGGUGCUGGGUCUGCUCGGUUCAUUAUGGUGUAAACAGUAGUCCCCCAAGUUCGCGGUCGAGAAGUAACUUCUGGGUUGGGAACUUGUGAGUUUUGUAAUUGUAACCGAGCAUUCCAGCUUCGUUGGGAGUCGUAGGGCACUCCCUAGUCCCCCAAGUUGGCAAGCUAGGAGUUGCGUCAACACAUGGUAGCUGGGUACCUGGGUACUUGGGCAUGUUGCAGAUAAGAUGGGAGCUGGGUCAGUAGGGGAGCCAGACCUUCGAAGGAGCCAGGUCUUGUGGAAAAUUUCGGAGACUCCAAUUCUUCCAUGGCCGGGCCAUUUGAAAAUUUUGGACUCUCCAUAGUUCCUCCAUGGCCCUUGCCGUUCGGCAAGGGUCUAGCUCCCUUUUUUUUUUUUUUUUUUUUUGGUUGUUGAAAGGUCGGGCCAUGUGGAGAGAGCUUGAAGGCUUUCUUGGGUUGGGCCUUCGGCAAGUAAGAAGGGCUUGUGGUGGGCUUCGGCAGGUAGGGGGGCUAGGGUUUGGCAUUGAGAGGAGAAAAAACCUCAUAGGAGUUGCUAAAAGGUGCCGUUCGGCAGGUUGGAGAUUAUUAAAGUUUUGGGUGGAUUGUUGCCGUUCGGCAAUUUGGAGGUGGUUGAAAUUUUGAGCAAGGGUGAGGUCAAGCCUUGGAGUAGAAAGAUCUUGGAGGUUGCUAGGCACACGGGUGUGGCAAAUCUUGGAGGUUGCUAGGCACACGGGUGUGGCUAGACGUUUCGGCAGGUCCUGGUUUCGGCAAGGCACGAGGUUAGAGCCGUCUGCAAGGCAGCAGCACCGAUUUGAUUUUGAAGACCCUUGCCGUUCGGCAGCCCUUUGUCCAUUGCUAGCGUUGUUGGUCAAAGCUUCGGCAAAGCAUCGGGGUUGUCCUUCGGCAGGUUCUGUCCGAGGAGGUGCUGGCUGCGCGGCAGCUGGGUUGUCGUGGUGUCCAGCAAAGGAAGAGCUGCCCACCGUUCUUGCCGUUCGGCAAGAGACUUGGCGACGGCUGGGGUGUCCUGCGGCAGGCGGCUUUAGCAAGAAGAGCUGGGCGAUGCAGCUGUCUCGGCAAGACAGGAGCUGUGCUUCGGCAGGUCCUGGUGCUGUUCGAGGGGGCUGUCGAGGGGCGGUGUUGCUGGGCAGAUUCAGCAGGCCGUGGCUGGGGUUAUUUCGGCAGGCGCCGUAGCUGGAGCACGGGAUUAGGGCCUUCGGCAGGCGCUGCGCAGGUUCGUUGAGCUACUUGCUGAAACCUUCCGAUCGGCAAGGGUGGUGUUGGCUGUUUUGUGAGCACUACUUCGGGCAAGGAGCUUGGCGACGUCGGGCAUUUGUGAGCACGGCUUCGGGCGAAAGGGCUUGGCAGUUUUUGGAGCUGGACGAGUGGGCUUCACGGGCUGGGUGCUGAGAGUGGUUUGGGCCGAAUAUAGCUGGGGUUUUGCGCUGUCACAUAGCCUCUCGAGCUAGACCGUCCACGCGGCAGGUGAGUCCCAUUUUUGUUGCGUCCCGGGCUUUGCCGUUCGGCAAGCCACCCAUGAUAUGUGUUGUGAAAUGGAUUUGGGUGCCUUGAUCAAAUUUGGGCUUAGCCUUGUAAUAGGAUUGGGCUUGUGAAGUAGGCUAGCACACUUGAAAUUUUGGGGACUCCAUUUUGUUUUUGCACGGGCCUUGCCGUUCGGCAAGACCCCUAAAAUUUCCCAUAUUUUUUGUUUUUUUUUUGUUGUUUUUGUAUGAAAAUUGAAUUUCAAAUUGUGUGUAGGUACAAGGGAUUUAUGAGGGAAUAUGAAAGGGUGCUAGGGUUUGCUCGUGAAACGAGGCGUGGGUACCCUUAGUUGGCUACAAAUAGGAACUUGGAGUGGUGAAGGCACCACACUUGAGUUGAGUUGAGAAAAAUUGUGAGAAUUUGAAGGAGAGGAGAGGCGAUUUUCGGCGAUUAGUUUGUGGUGGUGCUUGUGGCUGAGGUGAUUUCCGGCGAUCCAUUCGUGGUGCUACGAAUAAGGUUAGACCUUAUUUCGCUAGAACCUUUGAAUUGAAAUGUAUUGUUUUGCAUGAACAUGUUGAAGGCUAGGAAGAACACAGUGAACAUGAGCAUGAAUAUGAUGAACAUGUUGAACAUUUGUAUGAACAUGUUGAAUUCUUGCCUGGAUACCAAAGAACAUGUAGAUUUGCCAAA
RNAcentral lists this long non-coding RNA (34688 nucleotides) under Prunus persica (peach). RNAcentral describes it as "long non-coding RNA (PPER_LNC006174)". Lineage: Eukaryota; Viridiplantae; Streptophyta; Magnoliopsida; Rosales; Rosaceae. The record is from RNAcentral.